AGGGAUGAACGCUAGCUACAGGCUUAACACAUGCAAGUCGAGGGGCAGCAUGAGCUCAGCUUUGCUGAGUUUGAUGGCGACCGGCGCACGGGUGAGUAACGCGUAUCCAACCUGCCCUUUACUCCGGGAUAGUCUCCUGAAAGGGAGUUUAAUACCGGAUGUGUUUGUUUUUCCGCAUGGGAGCGACAAAUAAAGAUUAAUUGGUAAAGGAUGGGGAUGCGUCCCAUUAGCUUGUUGGCGGGGUAACGGCCCACCAAGGCGACGAUGGGUAGGGGUUCUGAGAGGAAGGUCCCCCACAUUGGAACUGAGACACGGUCCAAACUCCUACGGGAGGCAGCAGUGAGGAAUAUUGGUCAAUGGGCGGGAGCCUGAACCAGCCAAGUAGCGUGAAGGACGACGGCCCUACGGGUUGUAAACUUCUUUUAUAAGGGAAUAAAGUUCGCCACGCGUGGUGUUUUGUAUGUACCUUAUGAAUAAGCAUCGGCUAAUUCCGUGCCAGCAGCCGCGGUAAUACGGAAGAUGCGAGCGUUAUCCGGAUUUAUUGGGUUUAAAGGGAGCGUAGGCGGGCUUUUAAGUCAGCGGUCAAAUGCCACGGCUCAACCGUGGCCAGCCGUUGAAACUGUAAGCCUUGAGUCUGCACAGGGCACAUGGAAUUCGUGGUGUAGCGGUGAAAUGCUUAGAUAUCACGAAGAACUCCGAUCGCGAAGGCAUUGUGCCGGGGCAGCACUGACGCUGAGGCUCGAAAGUGCGGGUAUCAAACAGGAUUAGAUACCCUGGUAGUCCGCACGGUAAACGAUGAAUGCUCGCUAUGGGCGAUAUAUUGUCCGUGGCCAAGCGAAAGCGUUAAGCAUUCCACCUGGGGAGUACGCCGGCAACGGUGCA
Molecule: ribosomal RNA, 882 nt
Filed under: uncultured bacterium
Lineage: Bacteria
Description: bacterial SSU rRNA
Rfam family: Bacterial small subunit ribosomal RNA
Source: RNAcentral